CUUUCAUCCAUAUCAGGUACAGUGCAACAACAGGCUGAAGAACAAAACCACACUGUUUCUCAUCUGCCUGGACUAUAUUGCUUCUCCGUUCUGCCUGUGUGACAAUGAGGUGCUGUGCCUUGCUUAUCAGCACUGAACCACCGUGACAGACUGGAGCUGGGCUGCCCCAAAAUGGUGGCAUUUGCUUCCCAAAAGCACAAAAGGAGAAGUCAUUUACACAGCAGGCUGCGGACUUGGAACCACUUUUGGACACCUGGGUGUGAAAUAGGGCUUGACGACAGGUUGAAAAAGUCAUCUUUCACCAUCGAGGAUUACAGCCACACCGCGUGUCUAUAACAGGGUGCAGCUCAAUAAAUGAAUGAGUG
Molecule: long non-coding RNA, 365 nt
Organism: Oreochromis niloticus (Nile tilapia)
Lineage: Eukaryota; Metazoa; Chordata; Actinopteri; Cichliformes; Cichlidae
Exons: 3
Source: RefSeq, a predicted model, not a curated record